Molecule: unclassified non-coding RNA, 208 nt
Filed under: Ascomycota sp.
Lineage: Eukaryota; Fungi; Ascomycota
Description: partial contains small subunit ribosomal RNA, internal transcribed spacer 1, and 5.8S ribosomal RNA
Rfam family: Eukaryotic small subunit ribosomal RNA (bases 1-47)
Source: RNAcentral
AAAGUCGUAACAAGGUUUCCGUAGGUGAACCUGCGGAAGGAUCAUUACAGAGUUCAUGCCCUUCGGGGUAGAUCUCCCACCCUUUGUGUAUUAUAUCAUAUGUUGCUUUGGCGGGCUUACCCCCGCCAGAGGACCACAACUCUGUGUUUAGUGUCGUCUGAGUACUAUAAAAUAGUUAAAACUUUCAACAACGGAUCUCUUGGUUCUG